AAUGGAUUGAAGAAAUACAGACUCCGAAUGCUGUUUUGGCAAAGCACCUAGUAUCUUCAAGGUGGGAGGCUCUUUCCUAUAUGAAAGAUGUAGGCCAAGAAGAAAGUAACGAGAAGGAUUUUUUAGAGCUAGUCGUUUAUACAAUAAUUUUCUUUUGUUUAAAAGUGUAAGAUGAUGUUUAUUUGAUGGGCAAUAUGUAAAUCAAAAUUUUUCUUCAAUUUAUUACAAUGAUG
Molecule: long non-coding RNA, 233 nt
Filed under: Olea europaea (common olive)
Lineage: Eukaryota; Viridiplantae; Streptophyta; Magnoliopsida; Lamiales; Oleaceae
Description: long non-coding RNA (OEUR_LNC000386)
Source: RNAcentral